Molecule: ribosomal RNA, 249 nt
Filed under: uncultured bacterium
Lineage: Bacteria
Description: partial 16S ribosomal RNA
Rfam family: Bacterial small subunit ribosomal RNA
Source: RNAcentral
GAUCUGGCUCAGGAUGAACGCUAGCUACAGGCUUAACACAUGCAAGUCGAGGGGCAUCAGGAAGAAAGCUUGCUUUCUUUGCUGGCGACCGGCGCACGGGUGAGUAACACGUAUCCAACCUGCCCUUUACUCGGGGAUAGCCUUUCGAAAGAAAGAUUAAUACCCGAUAGCAUAAUGAUUCCGCAUGGUUUCAUUAUUAAAGGAUUCCGGUAAAGGAUGGGGAUGCGUUCCAUUAGGUUGUUGGUGAGG